UGGGGUAUCGCCAAGCGGUAAGGCACCGGUUUUUGAUACCGGCAUUCCCUUGUUCGAAUCCAGGUACCCCAGCCA
RNAcentral lists this transfer RNA (75 nucleotides) under Salmonella enterica subsp. enterica serovar Infantis. Its description in RNAcentral is "tRNA-Gln". It matches the Rfam family "tRNA". From Rfam's summary of the family: Transfer RNA (tRNA) molecules are approximately 80 nucleotides in length. Their secondary structure includes four short double-helical elements and three loops (D, anti-codon, and T loops). Further hydrogen bonds mediate the characteristic L-shaped molecular structure. tRNAs have two regions of fundamental functional importance: the anti-codon, which is responsible for specific mRNA codon recognition, and the 3' end, to which the tRNAs corresponding amino acid is attached (by aminoacyl-tRNA synthetases). tRNAs cope with the degeneracy of the genetic code in two manners: having more than one tRNA (with a specific anti-codon) for a particular amino acid; and 'wobble' base-pairing, i.e. permitting non-standard base-pairing at the 3rd anti-codon position. Lineage: Bacteria; Pseudomonadati; Pseudomonadota; Gammaproteobacteria; Enterobacterales; Enterobacteriaceae. RNAcentral also lists the same sequence under 2 other names. The record is from RNAcentral.